Molecule: ribosomal RNA, 426 nt
Filed under: uncultured prokaryote
Description: bacterial SSU rRNA
Rfam family: Bacterial small subunit ribosomal RNA
Source: RNAcentral
UCGAGAAUUUUUCACAAUGGGCGCAAGCCUGAUGGAGCGACGCCGCGUGGGGGAUGAAUGGCUUCGGCCCGUAAACCCCUGUCAUUCGCGAUCAACCCUUAUUAUUUAAAAGAUGCUAAGCUGAUAUUAGUACAGGAAUAAGCCACGGCUAACUCCGUGCCAGCAGCCGCGGUAACACGGGGGUGGCAAGCGUUGUCCGGAAUUACUAGGCGUAAAGGGCAGGUAGGCGGAUCAGUAAGUCGGACGUUUAAUCCUCGGUCUUAAGCUGAGACAUGCGUUUGAUACUGUUGAUCUAGAAUGCGGCGGGGGAAGACGGAAUUCCGGGUGUAGCGGUGGAAUGCGCAGAUAUCCGGAGGAACACCGAAGGCGAAGGCAGUCUUCCAUACCGUAAUUGACGCUGAACUGCGAAGGUGUGGGGAUCAAACA